This 111-nucleotide long non-coding RNA is filed under the name Macaca mulatta (Rhesus monkey). RNAcentral's name for it is "lncRNA (ENSMMUG00000055088.1)". The record is from RNAcentral. Lineage: Eukaryota; Metazoa; Chordata; Mammalia; Primates; Cercopithecidae.
CUUUUCUGUUGGUUCCAGAUUCAUCACAUUUGACCUUCAAUAUAUCACAGAGGAAAAAAAGUUGCUGACUCUGAGUACAGAGUAAACCGGAACUUCUCCCCGACCCCUGUC